AGUGAACGCUGGCGGUAGGCCUAACACAUGCAAGUCGGACGGCAGCACAGUAAGAGCUUGCUCUUACGGGUGGCGAGUGGCGGACGGGUGAGGCAUACAUCGGAAUCUACUUUUUCGUGGGGGAUAACGUAGGGAAACUUACGCUAAUACCGCAUACGACCUACGGGUGAAAGCAGGGGAUCUUCGGACCUUGCGCGAUUGAAUGAGCCGAUGUCGGAUUAGCUAGUUGGCGGGGUAAGGGCCCACCAAGGCGACGAUCCGUAGCUGGUCUGAGAGGAUGAUCAGCCACACUGGAACUGAGACACGGUCCAGACUCCUACGGGAGGCAGCAGUGGGGAAUAUUGGACAAUGGGCGCAAGCCUGAUCCAGCCAUACCGCGUGGGUGAAGAAGGCCUUCGGGUUGUAAAGCCCUUUUGUUGGGAAAGAAAAGCAGCAGGUUAAUACCCCGCUGUUCUGACGGUACCCAAAGAAUAAGCACCGGCUAACUUCGUG
Molecule: ribosomal RNA, 492 nt
Filed under: uncultured bacterium
Lineage: Bacteria
Description: partial 16S ribosomal RNA
Rfam family: Bacterial small subunit ribosomal RNA
Source: RNAcentral